CUCUUGCAAAUAAUGAUGCGUUCCAGUUCUAGUCGAGUUGCAACGAUGAACUGGAAAUGUUAGAUAAAAUCCGACUUCCUUCUGGAAGAGCAGGAGCAACUGCAACUACACUCCAGUUACGACUGGUAAGGCUGACUGUGUGUUUCAACAUGGCCGCUCCUCGCCUCAACAAUACUGUUGCACAUCUCACACGGUUCCAGUCCAGUGACCUUCACCACAGUGUUUAUGCUUUUUCUCAGUCAUCAGAGAAUCAACAGAGUUUUCAUAUCUCCCUGAUGUCCCCUCUAUGUUGCCUCCAGUGUUGCUGGCAUAAGUAUCGACCAUCAUGUCAAACCAGUGCAGUGAGAUUCAACCAUUAGGGGAAUUGGUACAUUCUUUUAUAAUAAAAUAGAAAUAAAAUACGGGUACAGGGCAAAACACGUACACGUAUUUUCAACCAUUUUUUGUAGAAAGAAAAAAAAGCUGCUACUUCGGAGGAGAUAAUAUAAAAUAAAUCAUAAAAACUCUUGAAUGAAGCAUUAACUCGUUUAACUCUGAACCGAGUAAAUGCACAGACUGGCUUUGGGCCUGUGGUGCACCUUCAGCUGCAGCGGAGGAAGUGGGUGGAUGUUUUUGCUUGGCUCCUGGGGGACAGUCAAAGCCAGCAAGCCAUACUUCCAAAUGUACAUGACUGCUCUCACUGCUUUAAGAUCUCUGCUUCUCCUUUGAGUCCACGCAUGACCUUCCACCCCCCACCACUGAAAUCAAUGGGCCCUUUCACUGAUUGCCCCUCAUAAUGACCCCCUGUUUGAGUCCAGAGUUAUCCAGGGAGCUGGAAGAAGAAACAAUUUCAUUCUGCAGCUUAUCUGUCGAGCACGUUGGAGACAUAAAGUAACAACACGAUGGAACUUUAUAUUUUAUUAUCUUGUGAAGAGUGCUACAGUAUGUGUAGUUUCCAGGCUGUUCCAAGCAGUAUGUCACUUUUACAAAUUUAAUUUUGUUCUUAAACAUAUUGUUGAAACUGUCACUAUGCCGUGACAGAUUGGAAUGAUUUAGAUAAUAUGUGGGGGGGGGGAAAUGGAGUUUCUCUGCCUUCUCCCAGUGCAAUAAGAAACAACCAAUCAGAGCCGGUGUUGGUGGUGGGGGGAGGGGUGUUAGCGCUGUCAAUCACCCCUAUGUACCUGAAACGGAAUAAAGUGGAAUUAAAUUUCUAUUUUAUUUUUUAAAACAAAAAUACAUUUUUAAAAAGUGCUGAAGAUUGAACAUUUAAAUGUUGACUGCAUGUGUAAAGUGCAUUUGUAAGCAAAAUUUUGUACUAAAAUGACCUUACAAAGACAGUAAAUAUUUUUGCUCCGAAA
Long non-coding RNA from Gambusia affinis (western mosquitofish), 1337 nucleotides. RefSeq lists it as uncharacterized. The record is from RefSeq and is a predicted model, not a curated record. Lineage: Eukaryota; Metazoa; Chordata; Actinopteri; Cyprinodontiformes; Poeciliidae. The transcript has 3 exons.